This 3127-nucleotide long non-coding RNA is filed under the name Eucalyptus grandis. RNAcentral describes it as "long non-coding RNA (EGRA_LNC002223)". The record is from RNAcentral. Lineage: Eukaryota; Viridiplantae; Streptophyta; Magnoliopsida; Myrtales; Myrtaceae.
CAAUCUUCUUAGGGUCUCUUCCCCUUGCCAAGGGUCACUCCAUGUGAAAAUCUGGUUGGGCAACAUAAAUAAUAGACGGUUCGUGUUUAGUGGCGUGCAAAAAAUGAGCUUAUCCAAACGUGAUCCUUGAACUUGCAACUUGGGCAGUCAAGGACUCGAAUUUCUAAAGUUUUUUCGAUCAAACUUUCCUUUGGCUCUCUCUCCGAAGGAAUGAAAGAUUGAGGCUGAAGUGUCUGUACGUGCCAGAUGGAAGUGUGAAGCGGAAAGAAUAGGGGCAACUUUAGAAUUAAAAGCUCUUGAUACUUUUUUUUUUUUUUGUGAGAUAAAGAAACUUGAAGUGUUCUAACUUUUGUAUAGUAAUCAUUUUAGUAUCAAAACCUAUUGACGUAUCACUUUAGUUCUACUUUGAUUAAAAAAGAAAAAAAAUGCUAUUGCUAAUUUAGGAUAUCGGAAAUUCAAUAUGACAAUAUUUUAACAUUUCUUCCAACUGAUGUGAUUUGUUAGAAAUCCGACAUGGUAAUAUUUCAGCAUAAAUACUCUACAAGACUUUGCUACCCAAAUUUAAUAAAAUUCGGGAAAGAUCUUGCCAAUUUUUCCUUCUUCUUCAAACCCUAAUUCAAAUCGCAAUAUUUCGCAACAAAAUUAAGAACUCAAUCUUGCAAUGGAGAGUAGAAGCAGGAUAAGUGGCUCAUGUUUGCAUCAACAAAGUCAAGAUGAAGGUGAAUAUUACUAUUAUUGUGAGCUCAAAAGUACAAGACCAACUUUGACAAGUUUGAUUCCAAGAAGAUUUCAUGGAUGUACUAGGUAUAAAGAAGACUUGAAGUUCGAAUAUUUCAAAUAUGUUGAUGCAAAAUUUUUAAGUUAAGCAACAUAGGUGAUCUUAGAGCUACCAAUGGUGUCAUGGCCUAAUUUUCGAGUGCAACGGCUAAUGGACUACUAAGUCAUUAGCCUACUAAGUCUAAACUUCUCUCAAACUCAUACCAAUUUGCGAUUUAGUUCAAAUUUUUUAACAUGCAAAUGGAUUUUAUCUAGAAAAUCAGUUCUAAUCUAAAUGACAUGCAAAUGCAAUUUUUUGUAUUUUUAAGAUAAAUAAAGCAAUUAAAAGAUAAGCACCAAAUCAUUCACGGUCAUCAAAAAUAUUAUCCAUCAUUCGAAUUUGGAAGCGAUAUCUAAUCAAACCUGAUUAUUUUGCUAAUAAAAUCAAUAAAUUGAUCUUAGCCUUAAAGAUCAAAAUAUCGAUUUUAUUUCCACAUGAUUAAUUAUUUUAUCUAAAGCCUUAUAGAUGGAAUAAAAAAUCGGUGCGUGGUUGCGAAUUAGGCAAUAAACCCUAAUUGGAAAUACACCUAUCAUUCUGUUAAAUUUUUUUUGGAUUGUGUGUUUGCACUGCGGAAGCAUUGGUUUUGGUAUUAGUUAUACUUUUUGGUUAGUGAUGUGUGCAAGUGUAUGGUGUAGUUUGUAGAAGAUGGACAAUGAAUAAACUAGGAUAAUUGAAGGACAAAGAACAUGGGAUAUGGGAAAUAGUUUCAUUAGUUGGAUAAAAUAAUUUUAGUGUUGGUGAGGGAGCAUGAUGUGGUUUUUAUGCUUAGCUCCCACACCAAAACAUGGAGCACUUGCUCCUUUAUAUAGGCUGCCAAAGUAGGUGGAGGAAGUCUCUAGACUUCUCUACAAAUAGCUACUAACAUAAGAUGGAGAAUUCUAGAAUACACAAGAGAUGGCAGCUUGUAGACUCUUCUAGAAUUUUUCUUGAAUUUUCUAGCUCAAAUCUAUCUUGAAGUUUCUAGAAUUGGAUCACAAAUUCCAACACAUUCAAAUAUGCACGUAAGAUAUUGAAAAACAUGUAUUAAGCAAUAAAAUAUCCAAACCAAAUUUAGAUGAGAUAAUUACCUAAUUUCGUAAAUAGUAUUACCAAAUUUGAACUCAAUGGAAUUGGCUCGACGGAUGAUCGGCAGGCGAGACUUGGCACUAUGAAGAGAUGGUGCUAUGACACCGAAGGUUGCUAGACGGGUGGUGCAGGCCCAGCGAUUACGACGUGCUGGUGCUGCUCACAGUGGCCCAGCGAUUCCUCCUUCGCCUCUUUCAUGAAAGAGGCUCUCUCCUUUGUUGUUUUUGUCUUUUUGUCUUUUUGUAUUAUUCUUUUCUAUCAACUCUCAGCCAUUGAUAGUGCCGCAGUGUAGGAUGGAAGCUUUGAUGCUCACCAGAGAAGACAAAAAGCUUGGUGGUCGCAAGAGAGAUAUUCAACAAACCUGUAAAACCGAAUCAAAUUUCAAUGGGAAGGACUGAAAUCGUGGGGGUCGCUGGAAAUUGAAGAACAGAUGUGGGAAGGCGUUGGCUUCUCGUUGGAAUCAUCUGGAACAGAGAUGUCGGAGAUGCAGGAGCGAGCCGGGACUGCUUCUAUGUUUGCUGGAUUCGCUGGACGUCUUGGCUGAGCAGCUUUCAGUAGUGGCAGGUCCAGCAGCAACUAAUCGUCAUUGAAAGUUCGGCAACGAUGCAAGAAGGCAGCAGCGAAUCACCAGGAGCUCGAGGUGCAGCAGGGACCCGUGACGGUGCAAAGUGCAGGCGUUGGGGCUUGCCGAUGGGGUUUCGCAGCGGUGGCGCUCUUGUCAGCACGGCAAGUCGUCGAGAUGGAGUAGCGGUAAUAGGCGGCGCCGGAAUGUACACACGACCGUGGGAUGUUCGGCCGCAAACCACUCAGCCGUCGUAUCCCUCCCUCCUCUUUUCCUGGCGUCUCUUUCAAUGUGUUCUCCUUAAAAUUGCAACGAUGGUCGGGCGUUAAUAAUUGCAAGAACAGCGUGGGGCACGACAGCUACAGUCUUGGCUUACGUGACCUGCAGUGAACAAGCAAAGGAACUCUCUCUCUUCCUCCAAUUCUCCGGCCCUGUAUUCUAUUGUGUGGAAGCGUUCCUUUUAUACGUCAACGGGCAGGGUUACGAAGAAAGAAAGCAAAUCGUAUUUCCUCUUCUGAUUGCUUAAAAGAUAUCAUGAUUUGUCCUUUUCUUCCCUCCUUUUGACCGUGAGUCCAUCUUUUGGCGAUUCAUGCAUAUUUCUUUCCUUUUGAUCGUGUAUGCUGUAUAAUCUUUAUCGAUUCUAUUUCUUUCAACUAAAUAUCAGCUCACGAGUUGUUCAAUUC